UAGUUGGAUGUCUAGCUUUGCGCGGACGGCCCGCCUUCGGGUUGAGUGCUGGAAGCGCUAGCUUGUUUUCCGGUUUGUGUCCCUUCCCUUGACUGUGGCGGGGUUCACGAUCCGGAUCUGUUACUUUGAAGAAAUUCGGGUGUUCAAAGCAGGCUUAUGCCGUGAAGACUGCAGCAUGGAAUAACAACAUAGGGCUAUCGCGCCUCAUUUUGUUGGUUCUGGGAUCGUAGCAAUGAUUGAUACGGACCGUUGGGGGUGCUGCUAUUCCGCGGCCAGAGGUGAAAUUCUCAGAUUCCCAGAAGAGCAACUUAUGCGAAAGCGUUCACCAAGGAGGUCCUGUUUAAUCAAGAACGAAAGUUGGGGGAUCGAAGACGAUCAGAUACCGUCGUAGU
RNAcentral lists this ribosomal RNA (392 nucleotides) under uncultured marine eukaryote. Its description in RNAcentral is "SSU rRNA". It matches the Rfam family "Eukaryotic small subunit ribosomal RNA", at positions 631 to 1024 of the family's 1831-position model. The record is from RNAcentral.